UAGCGGCGGACGGGUGAGUAACACGUGGGUAACCUGCCUGUAAGACUGGGAUAACUCCGGGAAACCGGGGCUAAUACCGGAUGGUUGUCUGAACCGCAUGGUUCAGACAUAAAAGGUGGCUUCGGCUACCACUUACAGAUGGACCCGCGGCGCAUUAGCUAGUUGGUGAGGUAACGGCUCACCAAGGCGACGAUGCGUAGCCGACCUGAGAGGGUGAUCGGCCACACUGGGACUGAGACACGGCCCAGACUCCUACGGGAGGCAGCAGUAGGGAAUCUUCCGCAAUGGACGAAAGUCUGACGGAGCAACGCCGCGUGAGUGAUGAAGGUUUUCGGAUCGUAAAGCUCUGUUGUUAGGGAA
Molecule: ribosomal RNA, 360 nt
Filed under: Bacillus subtilis
Lineage: Bacteria; Bacillati; Bacillota; Bacilli; Caryophanales; Bacillaceae
Description: bacterial SSU rRNA
Rfam family: Bacterial small subunit ribosomal RNA
Source: RNAcentral